GCACGGAAUAGUGGAUGAAAAAACAGAUGUUUUUGCCUUUGGUGUAUUGUUGCUGGAAUUAGUCACAGGGCGGCGAGCACUGGAUUACUCGCAGCAAAGCCUUGUCUUGUGGGUAUGAUUUCCUUUGUCUUUCCUGCUUUUUGUUCAGAAUUAAGGUAACCAGCAAGCACUUGCAAAGAAUGCAUGUAAAUGGAUGACAAUAAUGAAAUAGAUUUUUUUACUUUCUAGGCAAAACCUUUGCUCAAGAAGAG
RNAcentral lists this unclassified non-coding RNA (251 nucleotides) under Hevea brasiliensis (rubber tree). The record is from RNAcentral. Lineage: Eukaryota; Viridiplantae; Streptophyta; Magnoliopsida; Malpighiales; Euphorbiaceae.